This 70-nucleotide transfer RNA is filed under the name Drosophila simulans. It matches the Rfam family "tRNA". From Rfam's summary of the family: Transfer RNA (tRNA) molecules are approximately 80 nucleotides in length. Lineage: Eukaryota; Metazoa; Arthropoda; Insecta; Diptera; Drosophilidae. The record is from Rfam by way of RNAcentral.
GCCGAAAUAGCUCAGUUGGGAGAGCGUAGACUGAAGAUCUAAACUCCCCGGUCAAUCCCGGGUUUCGGCA